UUCUUUCUAUUUCUCUCUCAGACUCCAAAAAAACAAAAUCAGAGAAACAUUUCCCUCAUGUCUUUUCCUCUGUCAUGCCUCAUCAGCACCACCACCAUCAUCAUCAAUAAACCAAUCUUUUCCUCUCUCACGCUAGAUGUUCAAGGAACGCAAUGAACAACGUUUAACACCUUCAUCUACUUCUCUCUGCCUCUCGUGUCCUCUCACUCUCUCAACUCCAAUUUCACUCUCAAUUCUUAGUUGCAUGUGUUGUUCAUCCAAUCAUAAGGAUAUGGACCAUUGGAAUUCUAAGGUAAGAGUAGUAAUUUCAGUUUCAUUCCUCUUUCCCUUUUAUGAACCCUAAACUCAUUUGUGAUUUUGACCCAUUGAGGUGUAUGCAUGUUUGUAAUUCUGGUCUUGGAGCACUUGUGAGGAAUUAAGGACUGUUGUUGGAACAAGGAAACAAGAACAUUGGAAAUAUUUAUGGAAAUUCGUAUGCUGGAUGUACCCUCACUAAAAUGGUCAUACCUCUCCCUGUGUUAGUCCAAAUUUAACCAUUCUUGAUGUUCUGGAUAGCUAACAUAAUCUCGGUCGUUUAGGUACUAGCCUAGUGAGAUUUAAUGGAGAAAUGAGGUCUCUGCGAAUUUUUGAAGUGAAAGGUUCAACACAGAAUUUAUGCAGAAAGUGUUUAGGAUUGGGCUGCACUCAAACAGUUUCGAUUUAUUCUGAUUGCUAUGGAAAGCUAACUUAAAUAUGGUCGUUAUGGUCCCGGUUUCAUAAUUUAUGGACGAGAAUUGUGGCUAGUAGGUAUUUUUGAAGUUGGAACUCUGAUGCUGAAGUUAUGCAGAAAAAUCUGCAUACGAGUUUGAAGUAGUUUCAUUGCAAAUUCCGCUUUUCGGCGAGUUUCAGAAAUGUCGGUGGUACUGUUCAAGCAUCAAUUACAGGUGGGUUUCCUUAGAGGCUCAACUUCUAGUAUAGCCUAGCACUUUAGUUUCCCAAUAAAUUUUGCAUGAUAAUAAUAGAAUGAUAGUUCCCCAAAUUAUGAAUUGUUGUAUGAUAAUAUAAGUUAGGAUCGUGUUUGGCUUGGGACCUGGGAGUGUGCUCCUCUUGAGGUCUGAGGUUCGAUUCUCUCUGGCGCCAAUUUGGGUGGGCUAAUUUAGCUUCUUCAAAAAAAAAGUUAGGAUCGUGUGUGAGAGGGACUUAAACCCAAAGUACCACUCCACUCCAUUAUGAUUAUUUAAUCUAUAAACAGUAUGCAUAGCUAGUAGGAAAGGAUAUUGUAGGUGAUUUCUGCAUAAUUCAUGAAAUUUCGUAAAACAGGGUGCUGAACUGGUAUGCUCGCUAAGCGAGAGAUUGUUCAUUGUGGCUCGCUUUGACAUCUGAACAUUCUGACUUGGGUUAGCAGUAGCGAGCCUGUCAGGGUGGUUGGUUAUCAUUGCUCGCUAAGCAAGCAUAUGUCUCGUUAAGCGAGAACAUCAGAUCAGAACCUGCAUAAAGUUUUAAGGCUUAACUAUACAUUUGGUCCCUUACGUUUAUUUUAGGUUUCAAUUUGGUCCCUUACGUUUAAAAAGUAUCAAUUUGGUCCCUUACGUUNNNNNNNNNNNNNNNNNNNNNNNNNNNNNNNNNNNNNNNNNNNNNNNNNNNNNNNNNNNNNNNNNNNNNAGCGUGUCCAAGUGCCACGUGUCAGUCCACAUAUGCAAAUUGACUGCCACAUGUGACAAAAUUGACGGAAAGGACUAACUUGAAACCUAAAAUAAACAUAAGGGACCAAAUUGAUACUUUUUAAACGUAAUGAACCAAAUUGAAACCUAAAAUAAACGUAAGGGACCAAAUGUAUAGUUAAGUCAAGUUUUAAAAUAGUGAAAUCACUCAUUUUAUAUUUCCAAUCCUUCUAGAGUUUCUAUGAGUACCGUAAGUAAAGGAAAUGAUUAUAAUGUUAAUUACACGUUAAGUUAUAAAUAUCAGGAAAUCAGGACAAGCUAGAAAUACCCUGGGAGGGAAUUCAUGGGCAUGAUAACAAAUCAGGAUUAUUAAGUUAAGGAAUGUCAGUCAAUCAUGGUGGUUACUUCGGUACCACGUUAUGGAAUUCGAGGAAUCCAAUCAUGUUACGAUUGUGAGCUUCAUGCCGUGUCGAUGCAUAUACUCAUCGACGACAGAUAUGUCAGGCCUCUGAGAUCGGCUCACCUCAGAGUGUCUUAGUUAUGUUAAAAUGAACAAGUUAAUUAAUCCGUGUUACACAUUUAUAUUAUUAUGUUUAUGAAAUCAUGUUAUGAAAUUAUCUUAGAGACUGACAAUCAGGAUCAAGGAACUUUUAGUUCAUCAGUUGCCCCCGGUGUAGACAUCAAUAGUAACUGGUUAGUAGGAAUCCAUUAAGACGAAGUGACUGUUCUCAUCCCCCACUUAUUUGAUUUAAAAUAAACAGGUUGAUCGAGAUUUUAUGAUCUGCGAGCAUGGAGUUCAAAUACUUGGAUUAUGCUAGUUGAGCUGUCGUCAUGUUAUCUUAUAUUUUGUAUAAAAUUUAGUUUCUUUAUGUUUUCAAUUGUUAGCUCAAUUUAGUAUUAAUCUCUUAGAUUUUGUAAUCCUAUUUAUGUAUUCGAAUGAUAUGUAAUGAAAAUUUAAUGUUUCCGAUUCAGUUAUGUACACUCUUGUCGAUAUUCUAGAUAAAUUGACAUGGGGUGUUAUAAUCCGCCUAUGUUUUGGAAACUUAGUUUUUUUAAAUAAAUUAUACUUUCAAAUUUAGCCAUCCAAAUUUAAUUCAUACCUUCG
Molecule: long non-coding RNA, 2745 nt
Filed under: Trifolium pratense (red clover)
Lineage: Eukaryota; Viridiplantae; Streptophyta; Magnoliopsida; Fabales; Fabaceae
Description: long non-coding RNA (TPRA_LNC002068)
Source: RNAcentral